Molecule: ribosomal RNA, 249 nt
Filed under: Salmonella enterica
Lineage: Bacteria; Pseudomonadati; Pseudomonadota; Gammaproteobacteria; Enterobacterales; Enterobacteriaceae
Also listed under: 1 other name
Description: partial 16S ribosomal RNA
Rfam family: Bacterial small subunit ribosomal RNA
Source: RNAcentral
AAAUUGAAGAGUUUGAUCAUGGCUCAGAUUGAACGCUGGCGGCAGGCCUAACACAUGCAAGUCGAACGGUAACAGGAAGCAGCUUGCUGCUUUGCUGACGAGUGGCGGACGGGUGAGUAAUGUCUGGGAAACUGCCUGAUGGAGGGGGGUAACUACUGGAAACGGUGGCUAAUACCGCAUAACGUCGCAAGACCAAAGAGGGGGACCUUCGGGCCUCUUGCCAUCAGAUGUGCCCAGAUGGGAUUAGCU